GAAGAGAAAAUCCAGAGAAAGCACAGAGAAGAAAAAUGGUGAUCUCAACAUUAACAAACUCAGUCUCUAAACCUAAUUUUAUACUUAAUCAAGGUCUUAAAUCAAAACCCUUUUCUUCAUUAACCUUUAAACCUACGAUUUGCUGUUCUUCUGAUUCCAAUGGGUUAUUGCGAUGUUUCUCCUGGGUUUGGUGAUAAUGCUCCAGUUGGUGAACUUACUAAUGAGGGAGGCGUAAGCUUCAGAUUCCUCCAGCAGUAGCAUUUGGACCUGAACCUGCAGGAUGCUUCCGAGGUGAAUGCAACAUACCUGCGAACGUGACUCUUACGUACGACAUUAACUUCGUAGGAGUUUACAAAUGGAAAUUCAAAACUGCAAAGAUUUCAGUUUAUAUAAUAGCAUAGAAUGACAAGACUAGGCCACAGCGCAUCACAAAUCUUAAUAAUGGAAUCCAUUGCUCCAUGGAUCGCAUUUUAUCAAGCAGAGGAGGAUUGCGUUGCUGUCCAACUCAACCACAGAUUAUUGAUUCACGCAGAUAAUUAUGCAGCACCUGAUGAUUUCUGUGUGGCACCGUUGGCGCCUGAGCCGAACUCGUUCUGUUUGGCCUAUAUGUCAUUGUUGGAGCAUGAACUUGACUCGGUUUGUAUGCCACCGUUGGUGCCUGAACUUGACUCGAUCUGUAUUUCACCGCUGGUGCCUGAGCUUGACUAGGUCUGUACGCCACCGUUGGCGGCUGAACUUGAUUCUGACGGUUUAUCAUUGUUGGUGGUGGCACUUGAUUUUGCCGGUUUGCCAUUGUUGGUGCGGGAACUUGAUUCGAGUUGGUUACAGGCCUCCAUGUUUGAGAAUUUGAUCCGUUGGAAUUUUGAUCUCUGUUGCUCCUGCUUGAACCAACCCUAUGCCUCUGUUGCAUAUGGUUAUCAUGUAUGCCCAUUUCAGGAUUGCGAGUAAAUCCCGCCGUUAUUUGAUUGCUAAUGAUCAAAUAUAUAUAUAUAUACAAAUUCUUUGAGAACAUGACAUGAUUGUAACACUGCAUUUUAUGAGUAGAUAAUGAAAAGCUCGAUCCAACCUUUCAAAGGUUGAUUGAUCCUAUUACUGGUUUGUGGUUUAGAAAGAGGAGCGUCGAUAGUCGCGACGCUGAGGUUGGUUUGAUGGCAUGGAAGGAAUUCCAUUUGCAGGAUGCGAAUGUGAAUUUGACUCCUCAUGCGCAUAGCUCUCAGAAGUUUGGUGUCCAUUGUAUUGAGCUAUUUCGCAAUUCUCUAUGCAGUUGAAGUAAUUUAAGACAUU
This is a long non-coding RNA of Papaver somniferum (opium poppy), 1284 nucleotides long. RefSeq lists it as uncharacterized. Lineage: Eukaryota; Viridiplantae; Streptophyta; Magnoliopsida; Ranunculales; Papaveraceae. The record is from RefSeq and is a predicted model, not a curated record. The transcript is spliced from 4 exons.